CUAAACAUCUUUUUACAAUGAAGUCAUCUUGAAAUUUUUGCUCCUUCUAACAAACUAAUCUUUUGCAGAAGUAAAACGUCUUCAAAUUAACUUCAAUCUAAUUUCAAAAUUAUAAUCUCGAUGUGAACUUCCAUCAUCUUAUUGUUUUUAAUCUCGAAAGCUUUAUGAAACCCGUCAAUUUCUCCAGAGACACAAUUCAGUGUUUCUAGUCCACUUAAGAAUGUCAUAAUUAUCAGGAUAAAUGUAAGUAAACUAAAAGUGCUCUUUGAAACAUUCAAGUAGAACCCAUUUACUUUAGUUAGAUCUAUCCUGAUAACUAAGAAAUCUUUCAUUUGACCUAUAAAGUAUGAAGUACUAACUUACAUCUAAACUUUCUAUUAUUUCAAAGUGCAUCUGCAUACUUGGAGGCAUAUCAGCAAAAUAAUACCUUGAGAAAUCUUUUAUUUUUCCCAAACUCUUAGGGACUUCAGAUUCAAGCAGAUGCAGCAUUUUGUCCUUUUCAUUCCUUAUCCAGUCACGCCGCUUAUCACUCCAUUUAAGAUGGGAACAGGUCAUAGUUCUUGAAGGCAGUUAGAUAAGAGCGACACAGUUGAUGUAGAUGCGGGGAAACCCAUUGGAUCAUAUGACCUUGGCUCUCCAUAUUGAUUCAUUGACAGUAUGAAGUCCUUGUAGACAGCAAAAUGUCCAUUACAAACAGAAGCCUCAAUAACCCAAGCGUUGAUCAAAGAACCAAAUUUUGACACAACAAUUUCGGAUAGUUUCUGUAAAUUUGAUAGCCUCUCAAUCACUGGGUUACCUGUCCCUUCACCACAGAAAAAUAUAGCAUUGGCUACAGGUACCUGUGACAAAUCAGAAUGCUUAUUCAAAGACAUUUUUUAUCAUCUAUAGAUCUUCGACAAUUAGGAGAUUUAGAUCCUCAAGCAGUAGAACAAGGAGAUUAGAAGGAUGCUCGCUGUAGGUGACACCUCAAAAUGAAAUUGAUCACAACCCGAAGAGCCCAGGUGGAUUUUUUUCGUUUGGUGAUGAACAGAACGAUAGAAGACUGGGGUUAAUCAAAGCUCGGGACAUCAACUCAAACAUCUGAAACGGUCGGAGGAUCACGCCACCACCCUUUCGUUGACGGGGUAAUGGAUGCACAACUUCCAACAACUUGGAAGGGAUUAAACAUGGAUCAGUACGAUAGGACAAUCGACCCCGAUGAACAUAUCGAUGUCUUUACCACACAAAUGAGUCUUUACACUACCAAUGA
This 1249-nucleotide long non-coding RNA is filed under the name Phaseolus vulgaris (common bean). RNAcentral's name for it is "long non-coding RNA (PVUL_LNC000341)". The record is from RNAcentral. Lineage: Eukaryota; Viridiplantae; Streptophyta; Magnoliopsida; Fabales; Fabaceae.